GUGGUGUGGGUCAGGCGCGACCGCGGCGGGUGCGUACCUCCUGCAGCCGUUCGGCGAGGAUGUCCUCCAGCUCGGCGAUGGAGCGCCGCUCCA
RNAcentral lists this transfer RNA (93 nucleotides) under Micromonospora endophytica. Its description in RNAcentral is "Li et al. 2019 tRNA-Arg". Lineage: Bacteria; Bacillati; Actinomycetota; Actinomycetes; Micromonosporales; Micromonosporaceae. The record is from RNAcentral.